GAUGAACGCUAGCUACAGGCUUAACACAUGCAAGUCGAGGGGCAGCAUGGUCUUAGCUUGCUAAGGCCGAUGGCGACCGGCGCACGGGUGAGUAACACGUAUCCAACCUGCCGUCUACUCUUGGACAGCCUUCUGAAAGGAAGAUUAAUACAAGAUGGCAUCAUGAGUCCGCAUGUUCACAUGAUUAAAGGUAUUCCGGUAGACGAUGGGGAUGCGUUCCAUUAGAUAGUAGGCGGGGUAACGGCCCACCUAGUCUUCGAUGGAUAGGGGUUCUGAGAGGAAGGGCCCCCACAUUGGAACUGGGCCACGGUCCAAACUCCUACGGGAGGAGCAAGUGAGGAAUAUUGGUCAAUGGGCCAAGGCCUGAAACAGCCAAGUAGCGUGAAGGAUGACUGCCUUUUGGGUUUUAAAUUUCUUUUAUAAAGGAAUAAAGUCGGGUAUUUUCACCCGUUUGCAUGUACUUUAUGAAAAAGGAGCGGCUAACCCCGU
RNAcentral lists this ribosomal RNA (489 nucleotides) under uncultured bacterium. RNAcentral describes it as "partial 16S ribosomal RNA". It matches the Rfam family "Bacterial small subunit ribosomal RNA", at positions 28 to 506 of the family's 1533-position model. The record is from RNAcentral.